Molecule: ribosomal RNA, 496 nt
Filed under: uncultured bacterium
Lineage: Bacteria
Description: partial 16S ribosomal RNA
Rfam family: Bacterial small subunit ribosomal RNA
Source: RNAcentral
AUGCACGCUGGCGGCGUGCCUAAUCCAUGCAAGUCGCGCGCACGGACGAGAAGCUUGCUUCUCUGAUGUUAGCGGCGGACGGGUGAGUAACACGUGGAUAACCUACCUAUAAGACUGGGAUAACUUCGGGAAACCGGAGCUAAUACCGGAUAAUAUUUUGAACCGCAUGGUUCAAAAGUGAAAGACGGUCUUGCUGUCACUUAUAGAUGGAUCCGCGCUGCAUUAGCUAGUUGGUAAGGUAACGGCUUACCAAGGCAACGAUGCAUAGCCGACCUGAGAGGGUGAUCGGCCACACUGGAACUGAGACACGGUCCAGACUCCUACGGGAGGCAGCAGUAGGGAAUCUUCCGCAAUGGGCGAAAGCCUGACGGAGCAACGCCGCGUGAGUGAUGAAGGUCUUCGGAUCGUAAAACUCUGUUAUUAGGGAAGAACAUAUGUGUAAGUAACUGUGCACAUCUUGACGGUACCUAAUCAGAAAGCCACGGCUAACUACGUG